UCCGGAAUCAUUGGGUUUAAAGGGUCCGUAGGCGGUCUGAUAAGUCAGAGGUGAAAUCCUGCAGCUCAACUGUAGCAUUGCCUUUGAUACUGUUAGACUUGAGUUAUUGUGAAGUAGUUAGAAUGUGUGGUGUAGCGGUGAAAUGCAUAGAUAUCACACAGAAUACCGAUUGCGAAGGCAGAUUACUAACAAUAUACUGACGCUGAGGGACGAAAGCGUGGGUAGCGAACAGGAUUAGAUACCCUGGUAGUCCACGCCGUAAACGAUGGUUACUAGCUGUUUGGACCUUGUGUCUGAGUGGCUAAGCGAAAGUGAUAAGUAACCCACCUGGGGAGUACGUUCGCAAGAAUGAAACUCAAAGGAAUUGACGGGGGCCCGCACAAGCGGUGGAGCAUGUGGUUUAAUUCGAUGAUACGCGAGGAACCUUACCAGGGCUUAAAUGUAAGUUGCAUUAGUUAGAGAUAGCUAUUUCUUCGGACCACUUACAAGGUGCUGCAUGGUU
This 502-nucleotide ribosomal RNA is filed under the name uncultured Flavobacteriaceae bacterium. Its description in RNAcentral is "bacterial SSU rRNA". It matches the Rfam family "Bacterial small subunit ribosomal RNA", at positions 544 to 1050 of the family's 1533-position model. Lineage: Bacteria; Pseudomonadati; Bacteroidota; Flavobacteriia; Flavobacteriales; Flavobacteriaceae. The record is from RNAcentral.